UUGGUCUAUGAAUGAUUCACUGGGUCAGCAGUUUCACAUUGGCAAACUAAGGAUUUGUCUUUGAAUCGUUAGAUGACACAUAACACAGUCAUGCUAUAUCAUAUGCAAAAGUCCACGAGAUUCCAAUCCUUCUUACUAUACAAAUACUUGGACAAACAUGGACAAACUAUAAGAAAAAAACCGUAAUGGCGUGAUUUUUGCCAGAUGGAGCCGAUAUAGUUUCAG
This 225-nucleotide long non-coding RNA is filed under the name Mytilus galloprovincialis (Mediterranean mussel). The record is from RNAcentral. Lineage: Eukaryota; Metazoa; Mollusca; Bivalvia; Mytilida; Mytilidae.